This 467-nucleotide ribosomal RNA is filed under the name uncultured bacterium. RNAcentral's name for it is "bacterial SSU rRNA". It matches the Rfam family "Bacterial small subunit ribosomal RNA", at positions 355 to 825 of the family's 1533-position model. The record is from RNAcentral.
UGGGGAAUAUUGGACAAUGGGUGAGAGCCUGAUCCAGCCAUGCCGCGUGCAGGAAGAAGGCGUUAUGCGUUGUAAACUGCUUUUUGCCAGGGGAUAAAAAGACCGUGCGCGGUUAAUUGAAGGUACCUGGUGAAUAAGCCACGGCUAACUACGUGCCAGCAGCCGCGGUAAUACGUAGGUGGCAAGCGUUGUCCGGAUUUAUUGGGUUUAAAGGGUGCGUAGGUGGCCCUGUAAGUCAGUGGUGAAAUAUCUCAGCUUAACUGAGAGGGUGCCAUUGAUACUGCAGGGCUUGAGUACAGAUGAGGUAGGCGGAAUUGACGGUGUAGCGGUGAAAUGCAUAGAUAUCGUCAAGAACACCGAUAGCGAAGGCAGCUUACCAAGCUGUAACUGACACUGAGGCACGAAAGUGUGGGAAUCAAACAGGAUUAGAUACCCCCGUAGUCCCUGAGCGGGCUGGCAAGGCGCAU